UUUUCAUUAUAUGCAAUAGUCAGCAGCAUUUACGGUUGUGGUAAAACUAAUGUAAUCACCAAGCUAUUCGUGACUUUUAUUUUGACAAAAGAUUUGAACAGGAAGUUACGAGCGGAAGUGUUAUUGUAGCCAUUUCGACCGUGCCACAACGAUGCCGACAGCUCUCUUUGCCACCCCUACAACGUGCUUGUUCAAGCAGCUCCUUUUCUUUCAGGUUUUGUGCUUAGAAAGAGUGACAUGAUGCAGGAUGGAGUUGCGAGGAGUUCCCGGACACGGUCAAAGAUGGCUGGAACAGUCGGAUGGAUUUGCAAUCAUGCAAUAAAUGCCCACAUAAGAUGCCAUGGUCAAAUGGUUGGAGAUCGUUGACAGUUUGCAGCUAUUGAUGAAAGUUGUUUCCGUAAUAAAAGCAAGUAUCACCACAGAAGGGCCGGUGCAACAUGGCGACGGAAAAAAAGUGGGUUUU
This is a long non-coding RNA of Engraulis encrasicolus (European anchovy), 463 nucleotides long. RefSeq lists it as uncharacterized. The transcript is spliced from 3 exons. Lineage: Eukaryota; Metazoa; Chordata; Actinopteri; Clupeiformes; Engraulidae. The record is from RefSeq and is a predicted model, not a curated record.